Molecule: long non-coding RNA, 312 nt
Filed under: Elaeis guineensis (African oil palm)
Lineage: Eukaryota; Viridiplantae; Streptophyta; Magnoliopsida; Arecales; Arecaceae
Description: long non-coding RNA (EGUI_LNC043355)
Source: RNAcentral
CUCCCUAAUAGUAUGCUUUACAAGUUUCCUCCUCAACUCAACAUAUUGUGCUUUCACCCUUGUUGCCUCAUUUUCGAUGUCACUAGCUUCUAUUUUUAAAACUUCUAAGUCUUGUAAUAAAUUGAUUAUCUCUCUUUUCAAUUCUAUCAUAUAUUUUUUAAAUCAAAACUUCUCUAUACAUAUGUUGUGGACUUCAUAGAAUAAUUACAACCUUAGAUGAAGGUUCAGAAUUUAUCUAAACUAUCAGAUAAGUAUAACCAGUAUCUUGACUUUAUAUUCAAAUUUUCAAAUAUUGAAUUGUAUAGCUGUGGG